UUCCUACGGGGGCAGCAGCGAGGAAUAUUGGUCAAUGGGCGGAAGCCUGAACCAGCCAAGUCGCGUGAGGGAAUAAGGCCCUACGGGUCGUAAACCUCUUUUGCCGGGGAGCAAGGGCGGGGACGUGUCCCGGCCCGGAGAGUACCCGGAGAAAAAGCAUCGGCUAACUCCGUGCCAGCAGCCGCGGUAAUACGGAGGAUCCAAGCGUUAUCCGGAUUUAUUGGGUUUAAAGGGUGCGUAGGCGGAUUGAUAAGUUAGAGGUGAAAUGUCCGAGCUCAACUCGGGAACUGCCUCUAAUACUGUUG
This 305-nucleotide ribosomal RNA is filed under the name uncultured bacterium. Its description in RNAcentral is "bacterial SSU rRNA". It matches the Rfam family "Bacterial small subunit ribosomal RNA", at positions 336 to 638 of the family's 1533-position model. The record is from RNAcentral.